GCCUUGGAGUGGGGAAUAACAGCUGGAAACAGCUGCUAAUACCGCAUGAUGCAGUUGGGUCGCAUGGCUCUGACUGCCAAAGAUUUAUCGCUCUGAGAUGGACUCGCGUCUGAUUAGCUAGUUGGCGGGGCAACGGCCCACCAAGGCGACGAUCAGUAGCCGGACUGAGAGGUUGGCCGGCCACAUUGGGACUGAGACACGGCCCAGACUCCUACGGGAGGCAGCAG
This 227-nucleotide ribosomal RNA is filed under the name uncultured bacterium. Its description in RNAcentral is "partial 16S ribosomal RNA". It matches the Rfam family "Bacterial small subunit ribosomal RNA", at positions 128 to 354 of the family's 1533-position model. The record is from RNAcentral.